RNAcentral lists this ribosomal RNA (468 nucleotides) under uncultured bacterium. Its description in RNAcentral is "partial 16S ribosomal RNA". It matches the Rfam family "Bacterial small subunit ribosomal RNA", at positions 28 to 507 of the family's 1533-position model. The record is from RNAcentral.
GACGAACGCUGGCGGCGUGCUUAACACAUGCAAGUCGAACGGACAGGCCCUGCUUUUGUGUGGUUCUCGAGUGGCGAACGGGUGAGUAACACGUGAAUAACCUGCCCAUGACUUUGGGAUAACUUCAGGAAACUGGGGCUAAUACCGGAUAGGAGCUCCUGCUGCAUGGUGGGGGUUGGACAUUUUCGGCUGUUGGGGAUGUACUCGCGGCUUAUCAGCUUGUUGGUUGAGUAGUGGCUUACCAAGGCUUUGACGGGUAGCCCGCCUGAGAGUGUGGCCGGCGUCAAUUGGACUGAGGGACGGACCAGACUGGUACGGACGGCAGUGGUCGGGAGCAUUGCCCACUGGUCGGCAGCCUGAGGAAGGAACUCCGGGUGAGGAAUGACGGUCUUCGGGUUGUAAACCGCUUUCGCAUAUGACGAAGCGUGAGUGACGGUAAUGGGUAAAGAAGCACCGGCUAACUACGUG